ACCAAUCAAAGACCCCCAGAGGGCGGGUUUUCUUGGGCUUGGAUCCUAGCUGGGGUGGGGGCGGUAAAAUAAAGUGUUUCCACCUCCAGCCAAUCCCAGGGAAGACAGGACGGCACUCCUCCAAUAGGAUCCUGGAGCCGUCGGUAGCAGUGGCGGCCUGAGACCACCCCUAGCGCUCUGGCAGGCGGGAGGGACGCAUCCGGUGCAUUCGCGAGAUCCAGUUGCCGGCACCUGGAAUCUGCUUGCGCGAGGCAGUGGCGGCACCGACGGCCCGAGGUUCCCGGUCACCAGGUUGCGGAGGAUCGUGCGGGUAGCAAAAGGAAGGCGAGUGCUCCUGCGGCCCCAGACAGCAACCAGAACACUCCAGUUCCCCAAAACUGCCUUCACCCACCAUCAACAACUAAUAACGUAGACUGUCCCUUCCCAGGCCCCAGCAUCUGUAAGGAAACUAGACUGUUCCGUUAGUCCUCAAUAUGCCUCAAUGUCAUCUGAGAGCAGGAAGUCUCAACUCAUCAGACCCAAUGUACCUUCUACUUUCCUGAAAUGAAAUCUGCUACUAAUGGAACCCAUCUACACAGUUCUUAAAAAUCAAGAUAAUGCACUAACUACAACAUAAAAGGAAUAUAUCAAAUGAUUUUCUGCAUCAAUUGAACUAAUCUUAUGGUUAAUUCAAUUGAUGCAGAAAAAUCUAAAGGCUUUUGUCCUUUAGACCAUUUAUAUGGUAAUGUUUGAUGUUCCUGGGAUAAACUCUAUCUGGUAAUAAUUAAUCUAUAUUUUUGAAUACACUGUUAAUGUCUGUUAGCUAACAUUUUGUUGGGGAUUUUCAUUUCAUAAAUGAAACAGCCCUAGAAUUUUCUUUUCAUGGAUUCUUACCUAGUUUUUCAAUCUAGGUUG
RNAcentral lists this long non-coding RNA (894 nucleotides) under Bos grunniens (domestic yak). Its description in RNAcentral is "lncRNA (ENSBGRG00000025750.1)". Lineage: Eukaryota; Metazoa; Chordata; Mammalia; Artiodactyla; Bovidae. The record is from RNAcentral.